CGUAGGGUGCGAGCGUUGUCCGGAAUUAUUGGGCGUAAAGAGCUUGUAGGCGGUUUGUCGCGUCUGCUGUGAAAAUCCGGGGCUCAACCCCGGACUUGCAGUGGGUACGGGCAGACUAGAGUGUGGUAGGGGAGACUGGAAUUCCUGGUGUAGCGGUGAAAUGCGCAGAUAUCAGGAGGAACACCGAUGGCGAAGGCAGGUCUCUGGGCCAUUACUGACGCUGAGAAGCGAAAGCAUGGGGAGCGAACAGGAUU
Molecule: ribosomal RNA, 254 nt
Filed under: uncultured bacterium
Lineage: Bacteria
Description: partial 16S ribosomal RNA
Rfam family: Bacterial small subunit ribosomal RNA
Source: RNAcentral